ACCACCUUGCCUCUUCUUUUUUUGGUCAACCACCUUGCCUCUUCAGAUCAUACCUCUCUGGACCAUUCCUGUGUAACGUCUGCAGUAAUCAAAUCUUCUUCCAUAUUAAACCAAGCUUUUAUGUUGUUUUCACUACGCCUCCCACUCUGUCACAUCAAAUCACCCUCAUCAUUCUCUAAGGUAACGGAUUGAAGCUCCGCCUAUAAAUUUUUUUCCUACCUGUGAUGAACAUCCUCAUCUCUUUCAAGCACCAACUCCAACAAUAGUGAAUUUGUACACCCUUCUUGGGUUCUUGGUCGAUGAUUCUCAGAAGAAUAAUCGGUUUCAGGUUUCGAACAUUAAGAAACCAUUGUUCUUCUACGUCAAUCUCGCUAAGAGGUAUAUGCAGCAAUACAAUGAUGUUCAACUGUCUUCCCUUGGGAUGAGCAUGCAUGUUCUUAAUCUCUCUCUCCUAUACAUUCUUCUUUGUAUUGAGACUGUUAUAGCCUUUACUGUUUGUCUCUUCAAUAUGAAAAUGUGCAGCUAUUUAAAUGUUGUUACUAUUGCUGAAUUACUGAAGAACACUGGUUGUACUGUUGACAAGAGUAACUAUCUCUAUAGAAUCUGAAUUCAACAUAUUACAUAUUAUAAAUUACAGGUUUAGGCAACUAAGCUCUGUUUUCUGGAAUAUGGUUUGUUCAUGUUAAUAAAAAUUAUGACUUCAACGGUGGAUAUUAUGGGUGACUUAAGGGGUCGCCAUCUGCCGAAAGCUAAGAUUGUAUCUGACCAAAGAACCUGAAUUGCCUGAAGCAACACAGCAAAAUCUGCAGCUAUUUGAGUAUCAAAAGUAACUAUUUCAUUUUCUUUUGGAGUUUCCAAGUGUCAUGGAAAAGAAAAUUAUAUAUACAAUCUAUAGCCAUAUCUAAACCCGAAAAUUGAGUCUGUGAACUAAGUGAGCUUUGUUGUAUAUAUUGUUGUCAUUGACUCGAGUGUAGUUAAUGAUCCAAGUUUUGUUACUCUGUGUAAAUUUGAUUCGUACCAUGUAGACAAAUGUUUAGCCUUUAGUUUCAUCUACUAAUU
Molecule: long non-coding RNA, 1059 nt
Organism: Raphanus sativus (radish)
Lineage: Eukaryota; Viridiplantae; Streptophyta; Magnoliopsida; Brassicales; Brassicaceae
Exons: 3
Source: RefSeq, a predicted model, not a curated record